UCCCUGGUGGUCCAGUGGUUAAGACUCCAUGCUCCUAAUGCAGAGGGCCCAGGUUCAAUCCCUGGCUAGAGAA
This 73-nucleotide transfer RNA is filed under the name Bos taurus (domestic cattle). It matches the Rfam family "tRNA". Rfam says of the family: Transfer RNA (tRNA) molecules are approximately 80 nucleotides in length. Their secondary structure includes four short double-helical elements and three loops (D, anti-codon, and T loops). Further hydrogen bonds mediate the characteristic L-shaped molecular structure. tRNAs have two regions of fundamental functional importance: the anti-codon, which is responsible for specific mRNA codon recognition, and the 3' end, to which the tRNAs corresponding amino acid is attached (by aminoacyl-tRNA synthetases). tRNAs cope with the degeneracy of the genetic code in two manners: having more than one tRNA (with a specific anti-codon) for a particular amino acid; and 'wobble' base-pairing, i.e. permitting non-standard base-pairing at the 3rd anti-codon position. Lineage: Eukaryota; Metazoa; Chordata; Mammalia; Artiodactyla; Bovidae. RNAcentral also lists the same sequence under 1 other name. The record is from Rfam by way of RNAcentral.